AGCAGGAAUGCUGCAGUGGCCGUCACUCCCUCUGCCACUAUCCCCAGGGAAGGAAAGGCUCCGCCAUUUGGGCAAGUGGUUUCUACAUCACUGGACACCAGUUCUGAGCGUUAGUUUGAGAACUCGUUCCCGAAUGUGCUUUCCUCCCUCUCCCCUGCCCGCCUCAAGUUUAAUAAAUAUGGUUGUACUUUUCUUAUUAUAAAAUAAAUGUCUGUAACUGCUGUGCACUGCUGUAAACUUGUUAGAGAAAAAAUAACCUGCAUGUGGGCUCCUCAGUUAUUGAGUUAUUGUGAUCCUAUCUCAGUCUGGGGGGGAACAUUCUCAAGAGGUGAAAUACAGAAAGCCUUUUUUUCUUGAUCUUUUCCCAGUUGUUCUUUUCUUGAUCUUUUCCCGAGAUUCAAAUGUCCGAUUCCCAUUUGGGGGCAAGUUUUUUUCUUCACCUUCAAUAUGAAAAUUCAGCGAAAUUGAAAGAAAAAUCAUCUGUGAGUUCCUUCAGGUUCUCACUCAUAGUCAUGAUCCUUCAGAGGGAAUAUGCACUGGCGAGUUUAAAGUAAGGGCUAUGAUAUUUGAUGGUCCCAAAGUACGGCAGCUGCAAAAAGUAGUGGAAGGAAAUUGUCUUUCUACGUGUUUUGGGAAAAUUAAUUAGGAAUUUGGAUGGGUAAAAGGUACCCUUGCCUUACUUCAUCUUAUUUUCUUAGCCCCCUUUGAGUGUUUUAACUGGUUUCAUGUCCUAGUAGGAAGUGCAUUCUCCAUCCUCAUCCUCUGCCCUCCCAGGAAGUCAGUGAUUGUCUUUUUGGGCUUCCCCUCCAAAGGACCUUCUGCAGUGGAAGAGCCUCAUCCAGUUAUUUUCUUUUGUUGCUGCUGUGUUUAGAUAAUUGAAGAGAUCUUUGUGCCACACAGGAUUUUUUUUUUUAAGAAAAACCUGCAGAUGAAAAAUUACUAAUGAAACUGUGUGUACGUGUCUGUGCAUGCAACAUAAAAAUACAGUAGCACCUAAGGAGCUUGAAUCUUGGUUCCUGUAAAAUUGCAAAUUGAUGUGGUAUUAAUAA
Molecule: long non-coding RNA, 1049 nt
Filed under: Homo sapiens (human)
Lineage: Eukaryota; Metazoa; Chordata; Mammalia; Primates; Hominidae
Description: HSALNT0322721
Source: RNAcentral